This 468-nucleotide ribosomal RNA is filed under the name uncultured bacterium. RNAcentral describes it as "partial 16S ribosomal RNA". It matches the Rfam family "Bacterial small subunit ribosomal RNA", at positions 28 to 507 of the family's 1533-position model. The record is from RNAcentral.
GACGAACGCUGGCGGCGUGCUUAACACAUGCAAGUCGAACGGAAAGGCGCUGCUUUUGUGGGGUGCUCGAGUGGCGAACGGGUGAGUAACACGUGAGUAACCUGCCCUUGACUUUGGGAUAACUUCAGGAAAAUGGGGCUAAUACCGGAUAGGAGCUCCUGCUGCAUGGUGGGGGUUGGAAAGUUUCGGCGGUUGGGGAUGGACUCGCGGCUUAUCAGCUUGUUGGUGGGGUAGUGGCUUACCAAGGCUUUGACGGGUAGCCGGCCUGAGAGGGUGACCGGCCACAUUGGGCCUGAGGUACGGCCCAGACUCCUACGGGAGGCAGCAGUGGGGAAUAUUGCACAAUGGGCGGAAGCCUGAUGCAGCAGCGCCGCGUGCGGGAUGCCGGCCUUCGGGUUGUAAACCGCUUUCGCCUGUGACGAAGCGUGAGUGACGGUAAUGAGUAAAGAAGCACCGGCUAACUACGUG